Molecule: long non-coding RNA, 454 nt
Filed under: Homo sapiens (human)
Lineage: Eukaryota; Metazoa; Chordata; Mammalia; Primates; Hominidae
Description: HSALNT0135556
Source: RNAcentral
AAAAAAGGAAGGAAGGAAGGGAGGGAGGGAAAGAAGGAAAGAAGGAAGGAAGGAAGGAAGAAAAAAGUGGGGCAAGGCAGCAAGAAGAUGCUGACUUGUUUUCAGCAAUCAUCAGUUAUGAUUACUUCUCUUCUUUUACCAAAAACUUGGACCUCCAGCUUCCUGUAAACCUUUAUCCCAGCUCUUACUGGUAGACAUGCAGUGAAGCCAGAGGGAAUAACAAGUACCCAGCACUUGAAAAACACUUUCAGUCAAGCAUGGUGGCACAUCUGUAGUCCCCGCUACUUGGGAGGCUGAGGUAGGACGAUCACUUGAGCCCAGGAGUUCGAGGCUGCGAUGAGCUAUGAUUGCACCUGUGAAUAGCCAUUGCCCGCCAGCCUAGGCAAUAGAGCAAGACCCCAUCUCCAUUAAAAAACAAAACAAGGCUGGGCGCGGUGGCUCACGCCUGUAAUCC